AAGAGAUACAUGUAGCCUUCACAGUUUGAAAAGAGAUAGCCUUUCUUUUUAGAGGACCAUUUCUCCAGGGCUCGUUUUCUCGCAAAAUCAUAGUGCCAAAAUAAGAAAAUUCUAGCUACUAGGCUUUCAGGCGAAAUGGCGGAAACACGCAUCAAGGACUAAACCAGUUUAGAUGCAGUGAUAAAGAGCAGAGCCCUACUGUCUAGACUUUCAAACCCUUUCAGGUUACCUGGAUUCGCCGAGUUUAAUUGACAUCUCCGUUUUACCGCAUUGAAACGAACCCAAGACCUAUAGCUCGCGUGCCAAAGUCCUGCGAAAGUUAAUCACGUAUGAUCACAAUCCAAAAUGCCAGCAACACUAAGAUGCAUCUCAAAUUUCAUUCACCUGGGAACUGAACUCUAAUCCCCGAGUUGUGCAAUCUGUUGCUCUACGAGUGACAAAAUCUAAGCAUCAACCUCACUAAACACGUGAAUUUAUGUAAAUUUAUCGUUUUAUAAUUCUUGUAUUGAUCUUUCUUCACAGACUAUUACAUCCAUGUGAAAUCAAUCAAGAUAUUGCUUCAAUUAACUGCCACAAAGGAAAUUACUUGGCUUGUGACUAAGAAAGCUGGAAGAAGAGAUUUUAAAUAAAAUCGGUUUCAGAACAUAAUUACAGGCAAUAUCUCUUUCAAUUUAUGAUGACUAUGAUACUAUUUCAAGAAAUUAAACAUCGAUCAUUAAAUUCAUUCUUGAUUUUAAGUCUAGUCUUAUCUACUUUUGAGCCGACAUAUUGCACAAAUCCCUAGUUCAUCAACUAUUUAAAAAACCCAAUGGGCUCUAAUUGGCCAAAACAGGCUCUAGUUGGGUAAAGACAUCUGGUGGACGAAUCUGCAACUGUUUGAAACUUCAUUAUUAAUUGCUGUGAGAUUGCGACUAACGAGUGGUACCCUUGAUAGUUACGUCCCGUAAUUUUUGUGUUCCGCAGGAUAAUUCAACUCAGAACUUACGGUUUGUCAUUUACAAUUAGGGUUUCACUUGUCAUCAGCUAAGCAAGUUACCAACUAGAUAAUUGUGGGUUACCUGUGUCUGCCACUCACCAUCAUCCUAUUUCUCAUUCUUAGACUUCGCCUUCUGCCUACCAUUGUACUAGACAUGAUACUUUUAUUGCUACAAAGUUCAUGAAACUAAAACAAUUGAUGCUGACACUGUGGUUUACUCUUGUUUCCCAUAUGUUGUGUGCAGCAUAUUCAUAUGUAUGUUGGGAAACAUACACCUUUCCAUCAUCAAACCGUCAAACAUCCACCAAACUGUCAUGUUUUCAGAAGCCAUCUUCACAUCUCUACUUAACCAGCUAACAUGACUAGGCUUUCACACCAUCUCCACAUUUUGUGUUGAAUUAUUCAUCUUCCUUCUCUGCAAAAUUACCUUCCCGACAACUUCGACGCCCCCAAUGGACCGCACGCAACUACUCUAUCUUCUUUGUCCCUCGUUUGCAAAAUCAAUCAUCAUCAUUACAGUCGUGCUGCAUUCUCCUCCCGGGGCCAUCAUGCGUAGCGCCAUAGCUGAGAAACAUGGAGGAAUUUACCUUAGGGGGUGCAGCCAAGCAGAAAUCCCGCGGCGAUGGAGAAGGAGUUCACCGAGGAACGUCGUGCUGUGGUAUUGUUUUGUUUUGUGUAUAGAACUAGUUAACCCGUUGGCUGCCACCCCGUUUGCGCCCCAUUUUUUUUGUAGCUUGUAGGGACCGGGCGCUGUUCUACCUCAUGGCCUAUGCCAUGGGGGGAACAGUCGCCGCGCCUUUAGGCGCCGUAGGCAAUGCACCAGUAGGGACUUCUCUUUGUCGAUGCGGUGGUAGAUUCCUGGGGUGUGCAUUCCCGGAAUGGAAUCUAUUACCGUGUCAGCCCGGACUUGUCUUCGGACAAGUCCCCCCUUGUUCGUGGAUCCAUCUGACGCGAAGCGUAGCAACUGUAGAUAGGCAACCUAUGGGUUGUAUGGCCUGGCAGCCAACGGGUUAACUAGUUAGUUGUAUGUAUUUGUAUGUAUGUAUUUCUGUAUGUGAUAUGUUAUGUAAAAUAGUGGAGGAAUUGAUGGGUGGAGGUGGGA
Molecule: long non-coding RNA, 2078 nt
Filed under: Daphnia magna
Lineage: Eukaryota; Metazoa; Arthropoda; Branchiopoda; Diplostraca; Daphniidae
Description: uncharacterized LOC116927938, transcript variant X4
Source: RNAcentral